This 329-nucleotide unclassified non-coding RNA is filed under the name soil metagenome. RNAcentral's name for it is "partial contains 5.8S ribosomal RNA, internal transcribed spacer 2, and large subunit ribosomal RNA". The stretch from base 1 to 120 matches the Rfam family "5.8S ribosomal RNA", at positions 35 to 154 of the family's 154-position model. The record is from RNAcentral.
GAUGAAGAACGUAGCGAAAUGCGAUAACUAAUGUGAAUUGCAGAAUUCAGUGAAUCAUCGAAUCUUUGAACGCACAUUGCGCCCUCUGGUAUUCCGGGGGGCAUGCCUGUUCGAGCGUCAUUAUAACCACUCAAGCUCUCGCUUGGUAUUGGGGUUCGCGGUUCCGCGGCCCCUAAAAUCAGUGGCGGUGCCUGUCGGCUCUACGCGUAGUAAUACUCCUCGCGUCUGGGUCCGGUAGGUCUACUUGCCAGCAACCCCCAAUUUUUACAGGUUGACCUCGGAUCAGGUAGGGAUACCCGCUGAACUUAAGCAUAUCAAUAAGCGGAGGA